RNAcentral lists this ribosomal RNA (497 nucleotides) under uncultured bacterium. RNAcentral describes it as "partial 16S ribosomal RNA". It matches the Rfam family "Bacterial small subunit ribosomal RNA", at positions 28 to 507 of the family's 1533-position model. The record is from RNAcentral.
GAUGAACGCUGGCGGCGUGCCUAAUACAUGCAAGUCGAGCGAACAGACGAGGAGCUUGCUCCUCUGACGUUAGCGGCGGACGGGUGAGUAACACGUGGAUAACCUACCUAUAAGACUGGGAUAACUUCGGGAAACCGGAGCUAAUACCGGAUAAUAUAUUGAACCGCAUGUUUCAAUAGUGAAAGACGGUUUUGCUGUCACUUAUAGAUGGAUCCGCGCCGCAUUAGCUAGUUGGUAAGGUAACGGCUUACCAAGGCGACGAUGCGUAGCCGACCUGAGAGGGUGAGCGGCCACACUGGAACUGAGACACGGUCCAGACUCCUACGGGAGGCAGCAGUAGGGAAUCUUCAGCAAUGGGCGAAAGCCUGACGGUGCAACGCCGCGUGAGUGAUGAAGGUAUUCGGAUCGUAAAACUCUGUUAUUAGGGAAGAACAAAUGUGUAAGUAACUAUGCACGUCUUGACGGUACCUAAUCAGAAAGCCACGGCUAACUACGUG